UAUUUGGAGUAAACUGUCAUUUAAUCAUCGCGCUGACCCGAAAUCAUUUUUAUCCCAUCGAGAAGACAAAGUACAAAGUUGUUGUUUGUGGUAGUAUAAUAUAUGCUUUGAUUGUUAUUAUUAUUAUUAAAUAACUUAUUGGAAUAGAAAAAGUAAGAUGAGACGUAUUUUGAGCUCUUUCGAGUUAUUCUUCGCAACACACUGCCAUCCGACAAAACAUUGGAUCGACGAAGCCGCUCAUAUUGCACAUGUAAGUACUCAUUUUAAUAACGUAAAUUUAAUGGUAAUAUUUAUUCAGAAUUCUAUUUAUUGUUGUAGGAAAAAAUGGUGGAGUUGGUGGAAAAAGAAAACGAAGAAGGUAAACAAUUGAGUGAGCAAGAUGCUAUGCAAACCGUGCUUGGAAAAUGAUCAUCCUACACGAAAGAGAUGAGGUAUGGUCCAAAGCCACAAAGUAAAAAACAGAUAGCAAGAUACUACCAGAAAUAUGUUAAGGCUUUUGAAGUUAGAUUGGAAAAAACGGAAGAGUUAUUGCAAAGUCAACACCAGGAAACGUAGACGUUGUUUGAUAUGAAACAUCGAGAAUAUGAAAGAAGGAAGAAGUGAUUACAUUAAAAGCCUAUUAUUCUUUUCAAGGAAUUUAAAAAAUAGACGAAUAAAUUUUGAAGAUGGUCAUUAGGAAAAUAUCAAACUACGUAAUAAGUACCGUCAUUAGAGUCUCGCCUUGAAAAGAUCGAGGAAACAUUGAUAGCUCAACAAAAGGCGACCAAAGAACAAUUAGAGAAAGCAUUGGAGGCCCAAAGCCAAGAGUUUAACAUGAAACUUCUUGAAAUGCAACAAUCUAUCGAGAGACUUUCGAGGGAAGGAAGUUCAUGAAAUAGUAAGAGUCAGCGAGAAGAAUUAUUACUCACAAUGUUUGGCAGUUGAAAGACAAUCAAACUAGCACAUAGUGAGGACGGAAGAGUUAUUGGAUAUGCAACGGCAGGAGUACAAUAGAAGGUUUGAUAAGAUGGAAGAAAUUCUUAAGAGAUUUAAUAGAGGAGAAAGAAGUUCAUCGCUGAAGAAGCUAUGAAAAAGAAGCAGCAGAAUGGUCCCAAUAGUAGGUUUAGACUUUGGAGGCUUGACUUACAAAACAGAAAAAUUAUUACAUAGAGGAAUUAUUAGAGGCACAUUUGAAAGUUGAACAACAAGAAUUAUUAGAGGGUGCAUUGUAUGAUAUACAAAACAUUUUGAAGUGGGGAUGAUG
Non-coding RNA from Momordica charantia (bitter melon), 1243 nucleotides. NCBI's taxonomy places the organism in Eukaryota, Viridiplantae, Streptophyta, Magnoliopsida, Cucurbitales, Cucurbitaceae. The record is from RefSeq and is a predicted model, not a curated record.